UCGUUCAGUCUGAUUACUCAGCAUAAUAAUAUGAUUCGAUACAAUUCAGUUUGAGAAAUUCGGAAGUUAUUCAAUGCGCCGUACUGACAUACCCACACCAACGUGUCUCAGUCAGUUAUCAGAACGUAGUUUUUCGUAGGCAGCUGAUAUACAUCUGAGAAAUUUCCUGCGCCUAUAGAACUCGAAAGUUCGCUACCCUUUUCACAAAUGGAAGGUAUUUGGCUUUAUUCUGGGUCACUUGAAUUCAAUCAACAACACACUUCUCUAGCAAUCCUUUCAUCUACGCAUCAUAAGCGAGUUCUCUACUUUGGAUUUUCGGACAAAAAGUCUCUACGCCAUAUUUACAUCUCCAGCAGAUACAAACGACACCGGAGUCGACAGUGUCAUGUCUCAGAACGCGUUCACUAAGCCUGGGAAGAUAUGCUGCAAUCUGUUAGAGCUGAAACUGGAGCAUUGUACGCCUGAUGAUGACCCGAUGAAAACUCUAGCUCAAGAGACUGGAGUGUCGAAGUGUAACGCAAGAACGGGAACACAAUUGCUGAAGCUUAGACCGUAUAAAACAACAGCAAUCCACUCCUUGCAGCCGCGCGAUCCAGCUAGCAGGAUAAUUUUUGCAGUUGGUUUCUACAGUCUGUCGUCGAAGGUGAGGUCGAUCCGCAAUUGAUUUUCUUUUCUGAUGAAGCGUCGUUUCACUUGCAAGGAUACAUAAAUACGCAAAAUAAUCGCUGCUGGCGUCCACGGAAUCCACAUCUAACCCAUGAGGUCUCGCUCCAUCCAGUGCAAGUUGGGGUCUGGUGUGCUGUAAGUUCAAGAAGGAUUGUUGGACCUGUGUUUUUAACGAAACACUUAAUUGCGAGAGAUAUGUACAGGGCAAUUAUUUUCGAAAUUAACAGAAGAAGAAAGACUCUAUGGCUGGUUCCAGCAAGACUCAGCUACUGCCCACACUGCACGUACGUCUAUGCAGACAAAAGUAAGAACUUCCCUUCAU
Long non-coding RNA from Cryptotermes secundus, 988 nucleotides. RefSeq lists it as uncharacterized. Lineage: Eukaryota; Metazoa; Arthropoda; Insecta; Blattodea; Kalotermitidae. The record is from RefSeq and is a predicted model, not a curated record. The transcript has 3 exons.